This is a long non-coding RNA of Xenopus laevis (African clawed frog), 1056 nucleotides long. RefSeq lists it as uncharacterized. The record is from RefSeq and is a predicted model, not a curated record. The transcript is spliced from 3 exons. Lineage: Eukaryota; Metazoa; Chordata; Amphibia; Anura; Pipidae.
CGCCCCUGACUAUGUUAAACAUCUUUGCAAGACCACACAUAUGCUCAUUGUGGUCUGGACGUUUGCUGGGAGGUUAAGCUAAGGGAUCGUCAUAAAUGAUCAAGACACCACAAGCCAAAUAAUUUCUGCUAUAGUAGCUGAUACAUUUAAACUGAUUAAUAAUCAGAAUAUGCAAACUGCACUGGACCUGUGGAUACAAAUCUCUACGUGGUCACUGGCUGCUCUACAGGGAAACAAACAAAGCUAGUAAGCAAGUAAAACCAAGGUGGGGAUUUCACGGCAUACAGUCAGGUGUAUUGUAAAAACUGUACACAUUUUUUAAUUAAAGUAUAUUGGAGAUAGAUUUCUUUUUCAUUAAAGAAAGUAAAAAUUGGAUUGAAAUUUUUUGCCUUUACAUCCCCUUUAAUGAUUUCAUACUGCGUAGAUCGCACAUCUUAGACAGUCAAACACCAUAAAGGAAAUGUGUGGAACCAGAGUAAAAGCUACAAGUCAAAUUAGAAAGUGUGUAGGACCAUAGGGAGUAACACACAACAUCUAAUCUGCUGACUUAUUGUACAUGGAGAAAGCCUGAAUACUUAGCACAAAGGAAAACAGAUGAAGUCAGUGACAAAUCAACAAAUGGCCUUGACACCAGAGGGAUAGGACUACACUGGUAACUGUAACUGCCUGAUGUGACACUAUCUGAUGUAAAUUGCAAUUGGAAAAAAAGCUGCAUUUGUGUCUGUUAUAGUGAGGAGAAAAGAGAAAUCAUCAGCUCAUCGUUGCUAUUCCAAUACUGCAUGAUGGUUGUACUCCACAGGCUUCUGUACUUGAGGAUUUUCACACAAGCCUCUGGCAUAUGGCUAGGAUAAAGAAAGAGAACGGUUACCGCCGAGGAUCUGCUUAUUACAUUACAGAGCUGCCUCUGUGCCAUUUAGCAUGUCACUGCCAAUGGAUAUUGGAUUCCCAGGGAACAUUUUAGCACCGGCCUCAUCAAAGGGAGAUCAUGUACAAUAUAUUUUCUGUAAUGCAUCUAGCAAAUCAUUUUCAUUAAAAUGUCUGAGAAUUUCACAGGCA